GAUGAACGCUGGCGGCGUGCCUAAUACAUGCAAGUCGAGCGGUAAGGUUCUCACAGUUUGCUGGCAUUCUUUUUAAUAAGAUCGAGCAAAGUGUGAGAAUACACGAGCGGCGGACGGCUGAGUAACGCGUAGGAACGUACCCAAAGUGAGGGAUAAGCACCGGAAACGGUGUCUAAUACCGCAUAUGAUCUUCGGAUUAAAGACUAUUUUGUCGCUUUGGGAGCGGCCUGCGUAUGAUUAGUUAGUUGGUGAGGUAAUGGCUCACCAAGACGACGAUCAUUAGCUGGUCUGAGAGGAUGAUCAGCCAGACUGGGACUG
This 318-nucleotide ribosomal RNA is filed under the name uncultured bacterium. RNAcentral describes it as "bacterial SSU rRNA". It matches the Rfam family "Bacterial small subunit ribosomal RNA", at positions 28 to 321 of the family's 1533-position model. The record is from RNAcentral.